GGUAUGAUCUCGGCUCACUGCAACAUCUGCCUCCCAGGUUCAAGCAAUUCUCCUAGCUCAGCCUCCUGAGUAGCUGUGAUUACAGGCACCCACCACCACGCCCGCCUAAUUUUUGUAUUUUUAGUAGAGUUAGGGUUUCACCAUGUUGGCCAGGCGGGUCUCAAACUCCUGACCUCAGGUGAUCCUCCCGCUUUAGCCUCCCAAAGUGCUGAGAUUACAGGCGUGAACCACCUCGCCCCACCAGGAAUCUUUUUUAAGAAGGCUAUCUACUUAUGGAAUUCCUUGCAAAGGAAAGGAUUCAUUUUGUGAUUAAAAACUCAAGCUGUAAAAGCCAAAGGUCCACCCCUUUUUUCCAGUCUCAAGCUGAAGAUCUUUAUGUAGAAGGCCUUCCCCACAGGAAUUUUUUUUUUUUUUUUUUUUUUGUGACAGAGUUUUUACUCUUGUCGCCUAGGCUGGAGUGCAAUGGCAUGAUCUAGG
RNAcentral lists this long non-coding RNA (477 nucleotides) under Homo sapiens (human). Its description in RNAcentral is "non-protein coding lnc-TMEM248-4:5". The record is from RNAcentral. Lineage: Eukaryota; Metazoa; Chordata; Mammalia; Primates; Hominidae.